AUUGAACGCUGGCGGCAGGCUUAACACAUGCAAGUCGGGCGAGCGGCGGAAGGGUGAGUACUGUCUGGGAAACUGCCUGAUGGAGGGGGAUAACUACUGGUAACGGUAGCUAAUACCGCCUAACCUCAGAUGUGCCCAGAUGGGAUUAGCUAGUAGGUGGGGUAAUGGCUCACCUAGGAGACUAUCCAUAGCUGGUCUGCGAGGAUGACCAGCCACACUGUAAAUGAGACAAGGUCCAGACUCGUACGGGAGGCAGCAGUGGGGAAUAUUGCACAAUGGGCGCAAGCCUGAUGCAGCCAUGCCGCGUGUGUGAAGAAGGCCUUCGGGUUGUAAAGCACUUUCAGCGAUGAGGCGUUACUCGCAGAAGAAGCACCGGCUAACUCCGGGCCAGCAGCGGCGGUAAGUC
RNAcentral lists this ribosomal RNA (406 nucleotides) under uncultured bacterium. RNAcentral's name for it is "partial 16S ribosomal RNA". It matches the Rfam family "Bacterial small subunit ribosomal RNA", at positions 30 to 526 of the family's 1533-position model. The record is from RNAcentral.